CAACACCUACGGCUUCCACUAGAUGUCAACGAUCUUUAUAAAGUUGUUUGAAGCGUCUAUGAUAAACAGAGAGCAAAUUAGAAUGCAAGGAAGUUGACAUGUCGUCAUUUCAUUUUUUUGCGCCUGCGCAUAAAUCUGAGAAGCGUGAGUUUGUCAUUAAUUGUUUAUCAAGACAUAGGAUAGGUUGUGUGAAAAUAUUACUGAUGUUUAACGUUAAAGAUGGACCAAAAGAUUAAUGCUAAACAAAGUUUGACAUGUUUGAACGAACGUAAAUAGAUUAUUUACUAGUUUUUUUUAGCUUUUCGGCGUGAUUUUAAAACCCCCCCCACCACGUUUUGUGGGAGCAUAAUGAACGCUAACUACUUGGUGUUAUUUGGACAUAAAUUAUGAACUUUGUCAAAAGAAACCACAUUUGUUCCGGACCUGGGAUUCCUGGCAGUGCCUUCUGAUGGAGAUAAUCAAAGGACAAUGACCCAAAACACACCCCCAGGUUGUGUAAGGGCUAUUUGACCAAGAAGGAGAGUGAUGGAGUGCUGCAUCAGAUGACCUGGCCUCCACAAUCCCCCGACCUCAACCCAAUUGAGAUUGUUUUGGAUGAGUUGGACCGCAGAGUGAAGGAAAAGCAGCCAACAAGUGCUCAGCAUAUAUGGGAACUCCUUCAAGAUUUGAUGGAUGGACUACAGUGGUGGAUGGACUACAGUGGUAGAUGGACUGCAGUGAUGGAUGGACUACAGUGGUGGAUGGACUACAGUGGUAGAUGGACUACAGUGGUGGAUGGACUACAGUGGUGGAUGGACUACAGUGGUGGAUAGACUACAGUGGUGGAUGGACUACAGUGGUGGAUGGACUACAGUGGUGGAUGGACUACAGUGGUAGAUGGACUACAGUGGUGGAUGGACUACAGUGGUGGAUAGACUACAGUGGUGGAUGGACUACAGUGGUGGAUGGACUACAGUGGUGGAUGGACUACAGUGGUGGAUGGACUACAGUGGUGGAUGGACUACAGUGGUGGAUGGACUACAGUGGUGGAUGGACUACAGUGGUGGAUGGACUACAGUGGUAGAUGGACUACAGUGGUGGAUGGACUACAGUGGUAGAUGGACUACAGUGGUGGAUGGACUACAGUGGUGGAUGGACUACAGUGGUGGAUGGACUACAGUGGUGGAUGGACUACAGUGGUGGAUGGACUACAGUGGUAGAUGGACUACAGUGGUGGAUGGACUACAGUGGUAGAUGGACUACAGUGGUGGAUGGACUACAGUGGUAGAUGGACUACAGUGGUGGAUGGACUACAGUGGUGGAUGGACUACAGUGGUGGAUGGACUAUAGUGGUAGAUGGACUACAGUGGUGGAUGGACUACAGUGGUAGAUGGACUACAGUGGUGGAUGGACUACAGUGGUAGAUGGACUACAGUGGUGGAUGGACUACAGUGGUGGAUGGACUACAGUGGUGGAUGGACUACAGUGGUAGAUGGACUACAGUGGUGGAUGGACUACAGUGGUGGAUGGACUACAGUGGUGGAUGGACUACAGUGGUGGAUGGACUACAUAAUGUGUCUUGAAAUUUCAGCCCUUUUGAUUUAUUCUCAGCUCCAUAGGAAAUGGAAGAAGGUUUGAAUUUUCGAAGGUGGAUAAUUCACUGCCUAUCAAGUGUACAUUAACUUCCUAAUAACAAAAACAGAACAUCUAAAUCAAUUAUUGUAUUUUACCGUUAUUUUUAUUGUAAAAAAAAAAACGUUCUCUUAUUUUAAUGUGAAGCUUUAUAGAACAAACCAACACUGAGGUCACAUCUGAUGUACUGGUUGAAAUCGGUGGUGGAAAAAUCUUGAAUAUCUGUCGAACCAACACUGGUUUUAUUAUGCGUAACUUUACAUUAACUGGUAGGACUUCAUCAGUAGUCUGAGUCUGUCUCAUUGGCAUCCUCUGUCUUUUCCUUCUCAGAGUUUUUAAUUCAACCACAAAUGUGUUAUUAUAACACAUAAUAAAUAAUGUUUUGUUUAAUCCAAACAUAUUUAACAGUCAGAAUGAAAAAGUUUUUUUUUGUCAAACUGUACAAAAGUAAUAUAUCUCCCUUUUGGAAAAUAGAAAGACCAGGAAAGAAAAAGAGCAGAGCUGGUGAUUUCUGUCUGAGAUGGGACAGCACUUUACAUGUACUAUCUACAGAAU
This 2166-nucleotide long non-coding RNA is filed under the name Salmo salar (Atlantic salmon). Its description in RNAcentral is "lncRNA (ENSSSAG00000114074.1)". Lineage: Eukaryota; Metazoa; Chordata; Actinopteri; Salmoniformes; Salmonidae. The record is from RNAcentral.